This 391-nucleotide ribosomal RNA is filed under the name uncultured bacterium. RNAcentral's name for it is "bacterial SSU rRNA". It matches the Rfam family "Bacterial small subunit ribosomal RNA", at positions 28 to 419 of the family's 1533-position model. The record is from RNAcentral.
GACGAACGCUGGCGGCGUGCUUAACACAUGCAAGUCGAGCGGUAAGGCCCCUUCGGGGGUACACGAGCGGCGAACGGGUGAGUAACACGUGGGUGACCUGCCCUCAGCUCUGGGAUAAGCCUGGGAAACUGGGUCUAAUACCGGAUAUGACUCCAUGACGCAUGUCGUGGGGUGGAAAGCCUUGUGCGGCUGGGGAUGGGGCCCGCGGCCUAUCAGCUUGUUGGUGGGGUGANGGCCUACCAAGGCGACGACGGGUAGCCGGCCUGAGAGGGCGACCGGCCACACUGGGACUGAGACACGGCCCAGACUCCUACGGGAGGCAGCAGUGGGGAAUCUUGCGCAAUGGGCGAAAGCCUGACGCAGCGACGCCGCGUGAGGGAUGACGGCCUGG